Molecule: non-coding RNA, 249 nt
Organism: Pantherophis guttatus
Lineage: Eukaryota; Metazoa; Chordata; Lepidosauria; Squamata; Colubridae
Source: RefSeq, a predicted model, not a curated record
CGCUGCUCUGAAUUAUGCUUUUUACGGAAUUCGGAACGAAGACACUCUUGCUCUGGUGGCAGAAUGGCUAAGGACUUUCCAGAUGCAGGCUCUGAUAUAACAGCCUAUUGCCAAGACUGUACUCAUGCGUGAUUAAUCAAGGUUGACUCCGCCUUCCAUCCUUCCGAGGAACACACCUUGACUAGGGAGAGAUAUUCCACUGCGGCAGAGCGGAGAGUUGAAGACCACUUCCUGACAGCAUCGUCACAC